GCAGACGUCGUCUAACGGCAGGACACGAAUACCCUCGCCAAUUCUCGCCCGUCACCGGGCCGGCGCGUGAGGGUUACAGGUUAGGGACCUCGAGAUGCCGGUUCGAAUCCGGCCGUCUGCA
Molecule: transfer RNA, 121 nt
Filed under: Kofleriaceae bacterium
Lineage: Bacteria; Pseudomonadati; Myxococcota; Haliangiales; Kofleriaceae
Description: tRNA-OTHER
Source: RNAcentral